RNAcentral lists this long non-coding RNA (1563 nucleotides) under Oryctolagus cuniculus (rabbit). RNAcentral's name for it is "lncRNA (ENSOCUG00000031689.1)". The record is from RNAcentral. Lineage: Eukaryota; Metazoa; Chordata; Mammalia; Lagomorpha; Leporidae.
GCGAGGAAGGCUGGCCUGCAGGGCAGAGCUGGGGAACCACUCUGGAAAACUCGGAUCCCCUGCUUCCCCUCUAGCUUCUCCCCUUUCCACUGGAGCAGCUCACACCACUCCAGAAAUCCAUGCCUACUCCCCAUUCAGUGGGGAAAGUUGAAAAAGGUAGGAGAGCAAUGUACAAACUAUGUAAAUUCAAGUGGGCUCUAGGCACGGGGUAGAAGCAGAAGUGGCAGACUAGGGGUGGGGAUACACUUUGCAUGGGACAGAAAGACCAGGAGGAAGUACAGUGGCACACCAGGCCCUGAACAGGCAAAGCAUCUGGCCAACAGGCAGAUGCGUAUUAUGUUGCAGAUUUUUCUUCCUGUUGAAUGUUUAGAAAUGUUACAACUCUUUUGUGUUGCAGCUCCCUCUCUCUGCUGAGUUCUUCAUCUUGCGACCAGGAAGGAUGAACAAGGAAGUGCGGAGUGGCAGAGACAGACAGCACUGUUGCAGGAGAACUGGCGGGAUGCGUCUGGGUUCGUGUCCUGGUGUCGAUGACAACUUACAAGACCGGACACAAUGGCUAUGAUGAUGCUAACCUGGCAGAAGUGAAGGAAAAUUCAGAGGGCAGAAUGCACUCAGCUCACUGGAGCAACCUCCUGCAUGAGCACCUCUUGGUAAGAAAGCGAAAAAUGGACUGUGGGACCCCCUCACCCCCAGAACUCUGCAGCUCUCUCCACCUGACCAUAUCUCUCCAGACCUUUUUCUUAAGUAACUUUGUGUAUUUCUUUGGAUUAUUUAUGUAAACGAAUCACUUAUGCUGAGACAAUUUUGAUGUCAGUUUUUAGAAUGCAGUAUGUGAAUGAAGGUGCAAAAUUGAGGGGCUGCCUGGGAACUGAACCAAAUGCAAUCAGAAAGUUUGUUGGUCCUCUAUUCUUCUCCCGAUUGGAAAGGCUCGAGGUUUAUGAGUGUAAGUCUUCUCUCCCUGAAACCUGGCACCGUUCACGUUUUUCAUGGUGCCUCAGCCAAAAACAGUAGAAGCACCGCCUGCUGUCAUUAAAUCACCACUCUAGACCCAGAGCAAGACAGCAUGUAAAAGUCAGGCCCAGCUGCCGGUGGAAACCAGUUCCAGGAAGGGUCUAUCGGCAGGAGGCAGCUCAUGGGAACCGGGGUGGCCGUGCAGGGAGCCUGUCCGUGUGCACGUCAGGGGAGGAGUUAAGCUAUCACUUGGGGGGCCAGCACUGUGGUGUAGCGGGUAAAGCCGCCGCCAGAAGUGCUGGCAUCCCAUAUGGGCGCUGGUUCGAGUCCCGGCUGCUCUACUUCCUAUCCAGCUCUCUGUAUGGCCUGGGAAAGCAGUAGAAGAUAGCCCAAGCCCUUGGGCCGUUGCACCCACGUGGGAGACCCAGAAGAAGCUCCUGGCUCCUGGCUUUGGAUCAGUGCAGCUCCAGCGGUUGUGGCCAACUGGGGAGUGAACUUGUGCAUGGAAGACGUCUCUGUCUCUGUCUCUUCUGUCUGCCUCUCCGUUCUCUCUUUCUCUGUGUAACUCUUUCAAAAAAUAAAUCUUUUUUUUUUUUAAAGCUAUUGCUUGGG